Molecule: long non-coding RNA, 316 nt
Filed under: Homo sapiens (human)
Lineage: Eukaryota; Metazoa; Chordata; Mammalia; Primates; Hominidae
Description: non-protein coding lnc-CDRT15-6:1
Source: RNAcentral
CCAGGCCCAGGCAAAUGGACAGAUCUAUUCCUGAGAUGCUGUUUGCCCUCCAUUGUCAAUAUUGGCAAAGGGAGGGGGGAAUCAAUGGCAGUCUAGCUGGUUAGAUUAGUCUUUGCAGGAAAGAGACUCAAAGACCAUGUCAACACUUGUUUGACUGAUUUUUAACCUCAAGGGUGAAUCAAUUCAGUUUAAAAGGGUGGAGCCCAUAGGACAUGGAAACGCAGCCACAGAAUGCCCCCGAGUCAUGUUACCAGCAAAGAAACACACAUGGACAUUUGAGGGCCACCCACGGGUUUAUGUGAGAGCAUCAUUUGUG